RNAcentral lists this non-coding RNA (30 nucleotides) under Mus musculus (house mouse). Lineage: Eukaryota; Metazoa; Chordata; Mammalia; Rodentia; Muridae. The record is from RNAcentral.
UCAGGGUAAGGACAGUAGACAUAUCCUGGC